Molecule: ribosomal RNA, 249 nt
Filed under: uncultured bacterium
Lineage: Bacteria
Description: partial 16S ribosomal RNA
Rfam family: Bacterial small subunit ribosomal RNA
Source: RNAcentral
AAUGGCUCAGGACGAACGCUGGCGGCGUGCCUAACACAUGCAAGUUGAACGGAACUUUUUUGAAAGAUUUCUUCGGAAUGAAUUUGAUUAAGUUUAGUGGCGGACGGGUGAGUAACGCGUGAGUAACCUGCCUCUAAGAGGGGAAUAACAUUCUGAAAAGAAUGCUAAUACCGCAUAAUAUAUAUUUAUCGCAUUGUAGAUAUAUCAAAGAUUUAUCGCUUAGAGAUGGACUCGCGUCCGAUUAGUUAG